RNAcentral lists this ribosomal RNA (426 nucleotides) under Labeo rohita (rohu). Its description in RNAcentral is "partial 16S ribosomal RNA". It matches the Rfam family "Bacterial large subunit ribosomal RNA", at positions 1999 to 2573 of the family's 2925-position model. The record is from RNAcentral. Lineage: Eukaryota; Metazoa; Chordata; Actinopteri; Cypriniformes; Cyprinidae.
GCUAAACGAGGGCUUAACUGUCUCCCCUUUCCAGUCAGUGAAAUUGAUCUGCCCGUGCAGAAGCGGGCAUAAAAAUACAAGACGAGAAGACCCUUUGGAGCUUAAGGUACAAAACUCAACCACGUCAAGCGACUCAAUAAAAAGCAAAAACUUUGUGGAAUAUGAGAUUUUACCUUCGGUUGGGGCGACCACGGAGGAAAACAAAGCCUCCAAGUGGAUUGGGACAAACCUCCUAAAACCAAGAGAGACAUCUCUAAGCCACAGAACAUCUGACCAAACAUGAUCCGGCUGCCCGAAGCCGAUCAACGAACCAAGUUACCCUAGGGAUAACAGCGCAAUCCUCUCCCAGAGUCCAUAUCGACGAGAGGGUUUACGACCUCGAUGUUGGAUCAGGACAUCCUAAUGGUGCAGCCGCUAUUAAGGGUU